ACUAGGGUGGCUUAGUCAGUUAAGCAUCUGACUUCAGCUCAGAUCAUGAUCUCACAGUUCAUGGGUUUGAGUCCCAUUGCUGGGC
RNAcentral lists this transfer RNA (85 nucleotides) under Felis catus (domestic cat). It matches the Rfam family "tRNA". Rfam says of the family: Transfer RNA (tRNA) molecules are approximately 80 nucleotides in length. The record is from Rfam by way of RNAcentral. Lineage: Eukaryota; Metazoa; Chordata; Mammalia; Carnivora; Felidae.